CAGACUCAGAGGAGGCGCAGUGCUGAAGUGAAAUACUCAGGAAUACACAAUUGCUUCAGCACAAUUUAAUGAAGAGAAUUCUUCCCUAAAGAUGGCAACUCUAAUUCCACAAAAUUAACUAUCCAGCCACUGGGGAAUGUCAAAUACCAGAUGGGCUACUCAAGGCCAGGAAAGUAAAACUGUAAUGAACUACCAACUCCAAGAGGAAUUCAGCCCUCUCAGCAACCACCUGCUUUCUGAUCCAAAAGGAGUUGGGGCAAUGUAGAAACAUAUACUACAAACACACAGAAGGCAGGUGCUGCUGCUAGCUGGACUCCUGAUGGCUAGAUCAACCAAUCCACAUAUUGGAGCAUCUCCACUGGAAACUAAGAUUAUACCUUGUGCCCUUCAAUUAAGAGAUUGGUUAAAGGCAAAUGAUUUAUUCAGCCUUCUUCUUCCAUGCACUCAGGCUAAUGCCAGGAUCGGGAUCUAAAACAGGAAAAUUGACAGUUUGUGUAUAAAACUCGUCAGCAAAAAAGUGAAGACCUGGCUUUAAAUGGAACAUUUUUCAACCAAUAGAGACAGAAGGAACUGUAGCUUUAAUAAAUGUGCGCUCGAAAUCACUUGCACUUCUGUUGUGAAAUCUUUCCUGCGUGAAGUCAAGAACUCACACACUGCUGGUCAGCCUGAGACAGACCCACUCCGGGUCCCGUCCUUUUCCAGUGACAUUAUAACUUGUGGACUUCAGAACCAGAAGGACUCAAAU
Molecule: long non-coding RNA, 745 nt
Organism: Myotis myotis
Lineage: Eukaryota; Metazoa; Chordata; Mammalia; Chiroptera; Vespertilionidae
Exons: 4
Source: RefSeq, a predicted model, not a curated record